This 505-nucleotide ribosomal RNA is filed under the name uncultured bacterium. Its description in RNAcentral is "partial 16S ribosomal RNA". It matches the Rfam family "Bacterial small subunit ribosomal RNA", at positions 28 to 507 of the family's 1533-position model. The record is from RNAcentral.
GACGAACGCUGGCGGCGUGCCUAAUACAUGCAAGUAGAACGCACAGUUUAUACCGUAGCUUGCUACACCAUAAACUGUGAGUUGCGAACGGGUGAGUAACGCGUAGGUAACCUGCCUGGUAGCGGUGGAUAACUAUUGGAAACGAUAGCUAAUACCGCAUAAUAUUAAUUAUUGCAUGAUAAUUGAUUGAAAUGUUCAAUUGCAUCACUACCUGAUGGACCUACCUGGUAUUAGCUAGUAUGUGAGGUAACGGCUCACCUAGGCGAAGAUACAUAGCCGACCUGAGAGGGUGGUCGGCCACACUGGGACUGAGACAAGGCCCCGAAUCCCAAGGGAGGCAGCAGUAGGGAAUCUUCGGCAAUGGACGAAAGUCUGAACGAGCAAAGCCGCGUGAGGGAAGAAGGUUCUCGGAUCGGAAAGACCUGUUGUAAGAGAAGAACGGGUGGGAGAGUGGAAAGUUCACACUGUGACGGUAUCUUACCAGAAAGGGACGGCUAACUACGUG